CCAUCAGUGGCUUCCACGCGCAGUGUCGGUGCAAACCACCGGUGAGGCACACUUGUGUAGUGAGCGCAGCAGCAGCAGGGCGGACGUGCAUUCCUGUCCACAGCCAUGGUGGUGAGGUCUGGCAGAAGAGCUGCAGCUCCGUGGGUGGAAAAUGUGCUUUGCUUCAUUGAGGACUGCAAGUGCAACUCUCCUGCUGCAAAGUGCGUGCCCGCUUAAUCAGCUAAAGGAGCAAUAUUGUGCAAAGUGCCCCCCACCCAACAGGCUGCUCUGCAACAGGAAUCAAUCAGGUCCCAACUUUCCAGCUGAGGUGUAGAACCUGGUAACACCCUGCAUCUUGUGACCAGCUGCCCUCACUCAGCAGUGAUGGGAAUGUCCUUGAGUCUUUAUGGACCUGUUCCUGCAAUGCAGCUUUUCAGCUGGAUCACUGCCAAUUGACACAGAGUUGCAAUGGGAUAUUCACAGACUUAAUCUCAUCCCUGUUUGAAGAGAAACCUG
Calidris pugnax (ruff) is the source of this 495-nucleotide long non-coding RNA. RefSeq lists it as uncharacterized. The transcript has 3 exons. The record is from RefSeq and is a predicted model, not a curated record. Lineage: Eukaryota; Metazoa; Chordata; Aves; Charadriiformes; Scolopacidae.